CAGUAGCCGCGGUAAUACGGAGGGGGCUAGCGUUGUUCGGAAUUACUGGGCGUAAAGCGUACGUAGGCGGCUUGGUAAGUUAGAGGUGAAAGCCUGGAGCUCAACUCCAGAAUUGCCUUUAAGACUGUCGAGCUAGCAGGUGAGAGAGGUAAGUGGAAUUCCGAGUGUAGAGGUGAAAUUCGUAGAUAUUCGGAAGAACACCAGUGGCGAAGGCGGCUUACUGGCUCAUACUGGACGCUGAGGUGCGAAAGCGUGGGGAGCAAACAGGAUUAGAUACCCCAGUAGUCCCUGUCUCUUAUAC
RNAcentral lists this ribosomal RNA (301 nucleotides) under uncultured bacterium. RNAcentral's name for it is "partial 16S ribosomal RNA". It matches the Rfam family "Bacterial small subunit ribosomal RNA", at positions 509 to 807 of the family's 1533-position model. The record is from RNAcentral.